RNAcentral lists this ribosomal RNA (114 nucleotides) under Clariger sp. CBM:ZF:17769. RNAcentral's name for it is "partial 16S ribosomal RNA". The record is from RNAcentral. Lineage: Eukaryota; Metazoa; Chordata; Actinopteri; Gobiiformes; Gobiidae.
ACCCUCCUAACAGCUAGCCCCCCCCCAAAAACAACAACCCUUAUUAAUAAACCCUCAACAACUACACAAUCAAGAACAAACCAUUUUCCCCCCUAAGUAUGGGAGACAGAAAAG